This 490-nucleotide ribosomal RNA is filed under the name uncultured bacterium. RNAcentral describes it as "partial 16S ribosomal RNA". It matches the Rfam family "Bacterial small subunit ribosomal RNA", at positions 28 to 507 of the family's 1533-position model. The record is from RNAcentral.
GAUGAACGCUAGCGAUAGGCUUAACACAUGCCAGUCGAGGGGCAGCAUGGUCUUAGCUUGCUAAGACUGAUGGCGACCGGCGCACGGGUGCGUAACGCGUAUGCAACUUGCCUCACAGAGGGGGAUAACCCGUCGAAAGACGGACUAAUACCGCGUACACUUGGGAUAGGGCAUCCUGACCCAAGGAAAUGAAAUUCGCUGUGAGAUAGGCAUGCGUCCCAUUAGCUAGUUGGUGAGGUAACGGCUCACCAAGGCGACGAUGGGUAGGGGAACUGAGAGGGUGAACCCCCACACUGGUACUGAGACACGGACCAGACUCCUACGGGAGGCAGCAGUGAGGAAUAUUGGUCAAUGGGCGAGAGCCUGAACCAGCCAAGUCGCGUGAAGGAUGACUGUCUUAUGGAUUGUAAACUUCUUUUAUACGGGAAUAACAAGAGCCACGUGUGGCUCCCUGCAUGUACCGUAUGAAUAAGCAUCGGCUAACUCCGUG